This 355-nucleotide ribosomal RNA is filed under the name uncultured bacterium. RNAcentral's name for it is "bacterial SSU rRNA". It matches the Rfam family "Bacterial small subunit ribosomal RNA", at positions 527 to 881 of the family's 1533-position model. The record is from RNAcentral.
GUAGGGAGCGAGCGUUGUCCGGAAUGACUGGGUGUAAAGGGAGCGUAGGCGGGAUGGCAAGUCAGAUGUGAAACCUGAGGGCUCAACCUUCAGACUGCAUUUGAAACUGCUGUUCUUGAGUGAAGUAGAGGUAAGCGGAAUUCCUGGUGUAGCGGUGAAAUGCCUAGAGAUCAGGAGGAACAUCGGUGGCGAAGGCGGCUUACUGGGCUUUUACUGACGCUGAGGCUCGAAAGCGUGGGGAGCAAACAGGAUUAGAUACCCUGGUAGUCCACGCUGUGAACGAUGAUUACUAGGUGUGGGGGGAUUGACCCCUUCCGUGCCGCAGUUAACACAAUAAGUAAUCCACCUGGGGAGU